RNAcentral lists this transfer RNA (75 nucleotides) under Candidatus Methanolliviera sp. GoM_oil. RNAcentral describes it as "tRNA-Asn". It matches the Rfam family "tRNA". Rfam says of the family: Transfer RNA (tRNA) molecules are approximately 80 nucleotides in length. Their secondary structure includes four short double-helical elements and three loops (D, anti-codon, and T loops). The record is from RNAcentral. RNAcentral also lists the same sequence under 1 other name. Lineage: Archaea; Methanobacteriati; Methanobacteriota; Candidatus Methanoliparia; Candidatus Methanoliparales; Candidatus Methanollivieraceae.
UGCCGCUGUAACUCAGUUGGUAGAGUGUCUGGCUGUUAACCAGGUUGUCGCAGGUUCGAGCCCUGCCGGCGGCGU